This 193-nucleotide microRNA precursor is filed under the name Oryza brachyantha (malo sina). RNAcentral describes it as "MIR812 microRNA precursor family". It matches the Rfam family "MIR812 microRNA precursor family". The record is from Rfam by way of RNAcentral. Lineage: Eukaryota; Viridiplantae; Streptophyta; Magnoliopsida; Poales; Poaceae.
AAUAACUUCAUUUUUCAGUUUUUUGAUAAAUGUUUUGACUAUUCGUCUUAUUUAAAAUUUUUUUACGAUUAAUAUUUUUAUUGUUACUAGAUGAUAAAACACGAAUGAAUAGUACUUUAUGCGUAACUAAUUUUUUCAAGUUUUUUAUAAAUUUUUCAAAUAAAACGAAUGGUCAAAUGUUGGACACGGAAAA